Long non-coding RNA from Panonychus citri (citrus red mite), 4637 nucleotides. RefSeq lists it as uncharacterized. The record is from RefSeq and is a predicted model, not a curated record. The transcript is spliced from 2 exons. Lineage: Eukaryota; Metazoa; Arthropoda; Arachnida; Trombidiformes; Tetranychidae.
CGCUACCCGAUGCCAACCAUAAGGCCAUAUGAUUUUCAUGAAUAGAAUCAAACCGAAUUACUAAUAUUUACUACAGAAAUUUCAAAAUUUUCGAUAUCUCAACAUUCAUAAUAAUAUAAACAUCAUUUAAUUGUAAACAGAAUUGGUUUAUAUCCAUUGGAGAAAAGUUCACAGCUAUUUACUAAUUCAACAAUUAGCAAGAUAAUAAUAUAAUAACUGAAAUUGUGUCAACACAAUUAACAUCUAAAUACGCAAUAAAAUUGAAUAUUCACAGUUACACUCAAUUAUGAUCUUCGAUAUUAAAUGAAUCACCAUCAGAAAAUUCUGGUUAAUUUUGAUAAAAAGACAAAGAAAAAUUCUGAUUCCAAAUAAUCAUUUAGGUUUUUUUUUUCAUUAAAUGAUAAUCAUUGUUUUCAUUUCUUUAUCAAUAUUAAUCAAUUGUUUCAAUUCAGUGAUCAAUAAUCAAUCAACUAACAGAGUGAUUAAAUAUAUUGGUUUCCUUGUAAUUGUACUCGAAAGAUUAGUAAUUAUUUUUACUAUUUUUUUUUAUUCAUAGUUGAUUUAAUUAAUAGAUCUAAACAAAGUUCAAUGAUGAUCAAAACUCAUGAUUGCUUAUCAAAUUGUCAAUAUUAGUUUAUUGAUUGAUUAUUGGUUACUGAUUUGAUUGCAAUUAGAUUACAAUUAUGUUCAUGUAUUGAUUAUCUAUCUAUUGUCUUAGUGAUUAGUCAAAAUAAUUGAAGUAUUUGCUGUUACUUUUUUGAUUACUGAAUCAAAUCACUAAACACUGAUUUAAAUUAGAUUGUGAUUUAAUAAUAAUAACAUGAAUACAUAAAUUGCAGCUACAAUUAACAGAAAAUAGUAAUUAUUUAGUAAUUGUGACAAAAAAUAAACUUCAAAAAUGAAUAAGUUUUUUUCAAGUAAUAUUUUCAUUUCUUUUGAUACAAUUGAUUUUAAUCAAAUCAAUUCAAUCAUCAAGUAUGAACUGUAAGGGCAAAUGCUCAAGUGAUUUAAGUGCCUUAGACUGGUGAAAGGUUACAAUUUGAUAUUGGAAAUACUGACAAUUUAAAUGGUCAAGCUCAAGAAAUUGGAGUCCAUUUUAUCAAAUGCUGGGUACCAGGAUUGUAAUUCCCUGCGGUAGACGGACAGAGAUGGGAAACGCUACGUCAAAAUCCUAUCCCGAUGAUAAAGUUGACCUGAUUGAUGGUAAAUCAAUUUACCAUUAAACGAUAAUCAAUUAUGGUGCAAUCGGACAAUUAUUCAGGAAGAUGAUUCCUCUUUUCCUUUGGCUUUAAUUGAAUCUGGUCAGUUAAUUGUUGAACCAACUCGAUACCAAGUUACCUUUCAUCUUAAUUAGUGAUGUUUUGGUUUGAAAAGUUGAUUGUUAUACUUACAAUUUGUUUGGUUCAAGUAAGAAACGAUUGUCGCUGAUCUUGUUCAUUUUAUGUUAACCUUACGGUCACUUUUUGCAAAAUUUCAAUCAUCAGUUGCUAAUCUUCAAUGAUAAUAUUCAAUUAAUUGUGUGAACAAACAAUUUACAUGCUAUGGAAAGAUGAGGAUGAAAAAAUGAUUCUCAUGAAGAGAUUAUCUUUCCACUAACAUAAUGAAUACUCACCCUGAGAUUCAGGGUUGUUAUGUGAAAAUACUAAUAGGAUUUGACUUGUUCAUCCACCAAGAUAAUCAUAAAUAUUAGUACAUAUGAUAAUCUUAUGAUUAUAAGUCUAUGGAUCAGUUAGUUAGUUAAUUUUGUUGGUGACAAACAACAAUCACUGAGAAAAAAAAGUAAUCAUUUGGUGGCUUUUGAUUACCUUGGUUGCUUACCUGUGAGUGUGUUGAUUAACCUUCUUGUUUUUGUAUCUUCGUAACGAGAAAAUCAUCAAAUCGGAACAAUGGGAAAAACAAACUAACUUUGUUUUCCCUAUUUCUUGAUUGUUGACAAUUAACGAUUCGAUGUAUGUGUCUGUAUAUAUUUUCCCUGUUAAGAUUCAUGCCUUUAAGACUUUGGUACAUUAGAACUUUUUUCCUUCACCUUCCAACAACUAAGAAAAUGAAAACAUUUCCUUUUGGGCGGAAAUGAAGUCCACCCUUAUCCCAGUAACUUCCGUUUCUCUUUAAACUGAUCACACCCGAGGUUCCUUUCGGGUAAUGUAAUAAUAUAAUGGGAAGAUGAUGAUGAUGAUGAAGAGAGGAAGAUAAAUAUUUCGUAUAUUAUGUAUUUAUGGAUAAGAAAUUGUUACGAUAUUUAUUAUGUAAGUUAAAUAACAAAUUGGGCGGAAAUGGGCUCAUAGCGAUUAACAUAAUCACCUUAAUCUUUUUCAAUUUUGUUUCCCUCCGUUUGUUGAUGAUUAAGUUUAACAUGAUAAUCUAUCUGAUUAAUUAUUACUCUUUAAAUUGUUUCAAUUAAUUGGUUGUUGGAUUGGAGAUUUUAUUAGAAGACUGUUGGUUAUAAUUAAUUUCGAUUGAUUGGAAAUUUUUGAUCGAAACUUAUGAAAUUGGAAUAUAAUAUUUGCUCUUGUCUUUUGAUCGAGAUUUAAUCGGUUCGUUUUCUUUUGAUCGAUUUCAAUGGAUACGAAUUUAUGUUCAUAAUCGAAAGCUUCGAUUCUAAACGGAAAAGACUUGUAAAAGUUUUAUUCGAUCACCUUUCGAUUAGAUCGAUUGACGAAAAAAUUACCUUCGAAUCCAUUUAAAAGUCCAUUAGGUGCCAUCUAUUAGAUGGCCUGGUUAAUAGUAUUAUUUAAGUGUGAGCUUUAAAAUUCCCGUUAAAAUGACCUACAAGAGGAUCUGAUUGGUGAAUUUUUAAUAAUUGAGAAAAAAAUGUUAAUAAGGAACCAAAAUUUAGACAACCGAUUGAGAAAAUUAGUCUCAUCCCCUUUAGACUUAAAUCUUCAUACGAAUUAAAGUCCAAGUUUGUAAGCGGUCACUUCGUUAGCAUUUUAAAAGUCCAAAUUUAAAAGGAAAAGUUUGAGGAGAGCGCAGACAAAGUCUCCAUCUAGUGUUUCGGAUUGAAACCAAACUGAGAUGUUAGUUGAAAAUUCGAUAUUAGUGCUGCCAUCUAGUGUAUGAGAAGGAAAAUUGGAUAAAAAGAUCGAAAAUAAUUGAUAACAUUAUUGAUCUUAUCUAUUAGCUAAUGAUCACGAUCGUUUGUAAGGAACAAAAGAAAAAGAAGCAACAUUUUCGAUCUGAUAAUAUUUUUCUUUAUUCAUAUUGCAAAUAAUGUCCAGAAGAACAAAGUUAUUAUAAAGAAAGUGGGAGAAAAAGAGAAAGAUAGAUAACAAGAAAAUUCAUAGAACCCUAACCAAAGAAUCCACAUGAAAAGUAAUUCAGCAAAGAGAGAGAGAGAGAGAGAGAGAGAGAGAGAGAGAGAGAGAGAAGAGAAAAACUUGUUCAAAAUCCAAGGUUAAUCCAUUAAGGGAGCAAUAGCAAAGAAGAUGAUGAUGAUGGAGUGAGCGAAAGAAAAAGAGAAAUAUAGAAGAAAAAGGCGAUGAAGAAGAUGAAGAAGAUGAAGAGAAUGAUGAUGAUGAUGUAGACGAGAAGGCAAAAUAAUAUUAGAUGACCUGAAGGCAAAGAAGAGAAAAUCUUCAAGAAAAAGUUAUACAAAUAUCAGAACAAAAUAUCAUCUUUUAUGAACAAAGAACUCGAUAAUCUUAAGUGAUACGAGGUUACCAUUCACAUUGAAUUUACCAUUCAUCAAUUUAAACUACAACAAUCAAGGGUAACAAUCAAAAAAGAUCAAGGUAAAUGGUUAUGUAUGUUAAGGGGCAGAAAUAAAGUUGAACCUUUGAAAAAAACCAUCAAAAUUUAAUAUGACAUUAAAAACCAUAUCAAAUGGUGCACAAACCUUACCCUCCCCGUCCCUAAUGCUUAAAUAUAUGUACACAUAUCAACGUAAAUAUAUAUACAUGGUAACCCAAAAUUUCAUUAAAUGUAUCAAAAAGUCCAAUGGAUAAACAAAGGACGAAAAAUAGUAACAAAAGUUGCACAAAUUGACUUCGGACAAUGAUAUUGACCCUCGGGUCACAACAGGUUAUUACAUUUUCAUUGCAGUUCUCUGGCACUACUACUGGUAACAAUAUUAUUCCGUUUUUUUUGCAAUGUGUGUUUUUUAAUGACCUUUGCAAAAGAGGGAGGAGAAGAAGGUAAAAAGGUGAGCGAAAGAAAAGAGAAAGAAAUAAAGAGAGAGAAAAAAAAUUCUUUCUAAACGAUUACAGGUAAGAAAGAAGAAGAAAAAAACUAUGGAUUGAAGAGGAAACUCCAGAGGUGGAAAGAGCGUUUGAUGAUGGCGAGAGAGAGAGAGAGAGAGAGAGAGAGAGCGACUUGUAUGUAUUUAACUUUGAUAUUUUUUCUUCAUCAUCAUCAUCAUUUUCUUCUUUCUCUUCAUCUUUAAGAAGAAGAAGAAGAAGAAGAAGAUGAAGAAGAACCAAUUACCUGUUACGCUAACAACAUUUGAAGUGGAAAAGAUUCUUGAUACGCUCACUGAGCAUUUCCGUUCACCAGAAUAAGAGAAACUCACCAAAAGUGAAGGAGAAAAAGAAAAGAAGGUGAAGAAGUAAAACAAGAUGAUGAUGAAAAGAAGAUGAUCAUCAUGAGUGAGAAAGAGGGAGAAAAGCAAGUUGAAGAAGAUAAAGAGAGAGAGAGAGAGA